Molecule: long non-coding RNA, 2316 nt
Organism: Gadus macrocephalus (Pacific cod)
Lineage: Eukaryota; Metazoa; Chordata; Actinopteri; Gadiformes; Gadidae
Exons: 2
Source: RefSeq, a predicted model, not a curated record
CGACGGGGUUUGCUUCACCAAUAAUUUUGACCACCAGCCGCCACUGGUUUGGAGAGACGUUGUCAGUGUCUGUAUGUUGCUUAAAUUCUCCAAAACAGUGGGCGCUAAAGAUCAGGGCAUGGCAGGCCAUAGAGUUCCUGACCCCACGUGACCACCGGUGUUCGGAACGCCAUUUUGGCAGUAAAAUCAAGCUCCGCCCUUAAAGUUUUUCGUUAAAAUGACCCAGCACCAGCGCCGAAGCUUUCAAGCCAUCGGAGUACUCAUCUCACUUUAAUUCGCAUGACAUUGAGCUUUAUAUGCAACAAUUAAAUAGGUUAAAUAUUACCGACCCAUACAAUGCCCCCGGGGUGCUUUUCAAAAGCAUCUCUGCUGAAGAAGACGUCCCAGAUCUGCAGUAUCCGGAUAUAUAUAACUACCUUCAGAGCAGCCACAAAGACAGACGUCAGAAAGCCUGCAGUGUCUCUAAUAAGACAAAUAUGCUACCCAAAGUCCCAUAGCUUCACCAGUGAGGCUACCAGUUGGGGAUGUCAACACGAGGACUUGGCAAGAAAAUACUAUGAAAUGCGGCAUCGCCUCUCACACACACGGAUGUCAUGGUAGGAACGGCUGGAUUCAGGAUUUCACCCCUGCACCCACUUAUUGGGGCCUCACCUGAUGGAUACGUUUCCUGUAGCUGCUGUGGGUCAGGUGACACAGAAAUUAAGUGCCCAUUUUCUGCAAAGGACCUUUCUGUUAAUUAGGCAGUAAAGUGUUUUUCUGCACAGAAACCAGCACCAGCAGCAGCAGCAGCAUUUGCUGAUCAUAGUCAACAACAGUGGUGCUACUGCCCUGAGCCAGAAGCAGGGAACAUGUUGGUCUGUGCGGCAGGUUUUUGUUCAGUUAAAAAGUUUCACCAGACCUGCCUUCGCAUGAAAAGGGUCCCAAAACAGUGGGUAUGUCCCAUCUGCCGAAAAGUGAUCAAUGCCCAAAGAAGAAAACCUUAGUGAGGAGACUGUGAAAUGAGUUGUUUGUAGUAGCUGAUACUGUACUGUUAUUUAUGAAUAAACAGUUGUUCAACCAAUAUUGUUCUCUUCCCCAUCAUUUGUAUUAAAUAUCUGUAGCAAUCAGGGAUAUGAAACAUGGGUAGGUCAUUCAUAUAAGACACACCAGAACAAAUAUCUGGUUGGGUGGAACUCAGUUAGAAUGGGUGGAUGUGCAGCUUGAUCUGUAAAGAGAAACAAUGCGAUCGCAUCAGAAUAGCGAGUGAUUAAAAAUAAUGUCACGACAAGCAAGCAAGAAGUGUGAGUCACAAAGGUUUAUUUGCUGGUUGAGCACAUCUGUAGCCAGUCACAUCAGUUCAAUUUACUGUACAUCCCCAUCACUGGAAGGACACCACAGAUUCAGACACAUUUGUAAGUGCACAACACACGCUCACCAUCUUGUCAAGGUAGGUCACAUCAUUUUCUCCGUCUAUGUCCGUGAAACAUAUGGGGACAGUGCUUUGCAAGACUGUGUACUUUUGACGGAGAACUCCUAUCACUCUUUCAAUAUGUAUCCUAAGGGAGGCUAGACGUCUGGUGUUCUCCAAGUCAGCAGGAUCUUCUUUCCACGAGUAAAUGCUGGAAUUUUUAAUUCAGCUUGGCAUCUCUCAAUGGACUCUUUAACCAGACAACCUCUGUCCGCUAAAACUACGUCCCCUGGGGGGCAAAUGAGAUAAAAAGUUACUUUGUUCUGUGAUAAACUUAUCACUUGUGCGACCUCCCCAUCCAGUGGAAAUUAAACAAAUGGAACCUCGAGGGCAAAUUGCAAUUAAAUAAUUCAUAUUGUGGUGUGAUUUGUAUGAGGAGUAACACUGAGCACUGGCUAGCAAUCUACUGGGUUUCUCUAGAAAUAUUUCAAAACAAUCUAUGAUGCAAACUGUCUUUUCAAAGCUACUGUUUGGAAAUGCAUAUGGAAGAGAUUUUCUUAAGUAUUCUCUGUCAGGCCACAACACCAGACUUGGCACCAGUCUACAAUGCCUCACACUAAUGCAGUGUUUGAAGAGCUUUGAAACAGUGGUUGAGUCAAUGUCAAAAUAAAAAGCCCAAAAUUCAAAGGACAAGUUCAUUCUAAGCUUAAUUAAAGUUAACAUGUACUGCUGAAAACAUGUUAUACUAGAUUUAAGUUGGAGAAAAGGAGCCACAAUAUGAAAAAUUGUCAUGAGAGUGGAAAAUGCUGAUAAACCAGUGAGAGUAUUAACCCUUUUAUCAUCGUUAUGCAAGCUCAUCUCAUUCAGUGUAGUCCUAUUCAUUUUUUCCUUCAACAACAUAUUUCCAUUCCUCAGAGCUUGGCAUUCUU